This 433-nucleotide ribosomal RNA is filed under the name uncultured bacterium. RNAcentral's name for it is "partial 16S ribosomal RNA". It matches the Rfam family "Bacterial small subunit ribosomal RNA", at positions 29 to 507 of the family's 1533-position model. The record is from RNAcentral.
AACGAACGCUGGCGGCAUGCCUAACACAUGCAAGUCGAACGAGACCUUCGGGUCUAGUGGCGCACGGGUGCGUAACGCGUGGGAACCUGCCCUUAGGUUCGGAAUAACUCCCCGAAAGGGGUGCUAAUACCGGAUAAUGUCUUCGGACCAAAGAUUUAUCGCCUUUGGAUGGGCCCGCGUUGGAUUAGCUAGUUGGUAGGGUAAAAGCCUACCAAGGCGACGAUCCAUAGCUGGUCUGAGAGGAUGAUCAGCCACACUGGGACUGAGACACGGCCCAGACUACUAACGGAGGCAGCAGUGGGGAAUAUUGGACAAUGGGCGAAAGCCUGAUCCAGCAAUGCCGCGUGAGUGAUGAAGGCCUUAGGGUUGUAAAGCUCUUUUACCCGGGAUGAUAAUGACAGUACCGGGAGAAUAAGCUCCGGCUAACUCCGUG